GAUGAACGCUAGCGGCAGGCUUAAUACAUGCAAGUCGAGGGGCGAGCGGGGUAGCAAUACCGCCGGCGACCGGCAAACGGGUGCGGAACACGUACAGAACCUUCCUUUAAGCGGGGAAUAGCCCGGAGAAAUCCGGAUUAAUACCCCAUAGUAAUAUUGGUUGGCAUCAACUGGUAUUUAAAGAUUUAUCACUUAAAGAUGGCUGUGCGGCUGAUUAGGUAGUUGGUUGAGGUAACGGCUCACCAAGCCAACGAUCAGUAACUGGUGUGAGGGCACGACCAGUCACACGGGCACUGAGACACGGGCCCGACUCCUACGGGAGGCAGCAGUAAGGAAUAUUGGUCAAUGGACGCAAGUCUGAACCAGCCAUGCCGCGUGAAGGAUGAAGGUCCUCUGGAUUGUAAACUUCUUUUAUCUGGGACGAAACCCCCGUUUUUUAAUGGGAUUGACGGUACCAGAGGAAUAAGCACCGGCUAACUCCGUGCCAGCAGCCGCUGUAAG
RNAcentral lists this ribosomal RNA (501 nucleotides) under uncultured bacterium. RNAcentral's name for it is "bacterial SSU rRNA". It matches the Rfam family "Bacterial small subunit ribosomal RNA", at positions 28 to 524 of the family's 1533-position model. The record is from RNAcentral.